GAACAAUGUUAGGUUUCAUUGCCAAAAUACCAGUGAGAUGGAGUAGACUAAUAACCGUAAGCCACAUUUAUGUCUCUAUGAUCUUCCAGCAUUUGAGUCAAUGAGGAGAAGUUUGUCUUUGCCAUGUUGCUCUCAGGUUAUUCUGUUAAAAUUUGACAGCCUUGCUAUCUUAAAACAGUCUAGUCCUCUGGAGUGGGCCAGCCCAUCUCUGGGAUUUCUACUUUACAAACAGAGCAGAGGAGAGUGGAUUACAACCUGAAGCCUCACGUGGCCUAAUAAAGCCAGGGGAUCUGUUCGGAAUGUAGAUGGUGCAGACGCUUUCAGCCUGACUACUGCCCUUUCUCCAAGGUGGAAAAGCUCCUGCGGGACCUGCCUCCCACCUAAUCUGCAGCUCCGUUCCUGCAUCUCCUCCACCCUCACCGUGCUCCCGGCACACUGGUCUCCACGAUGUCCUUUCAAAGAUGGGGAAACUGAGUCCUGGGGAUCUUUGUCCCAAAUCUCACGGUUACUGAACGGCUACGUUGGAACUAGAUGCAAGGUCUUGCAAUUUUCUCUAAAUUUUCUACAUGGCCACCUCAAAAAGAAAGCAUGCUGCACCUUUCAUUUUCUGGUGCAAAGCAGAAGAAAUGCGGAAGGAAGAGAAGGAGAAAGAAUCAAGUAAGUCCUGCUCCUUACUGAAACUGCCAGGUGCCCUGCUGGAAUCCUCCUUGGGAGAGCAGCCCCAAGUUCGCUGAGGAGGUGGCAGUGGAAGAGGAGCUGGAAAACAGCCUCGGGUGCUUGGGUUCCGAAGCCCAGACAGAGUCUAAUCCAGAAGGAACCACUGGCCUCUGGAAUCGCAACUUAACCCCUUCAUAGCUUAAAGACAGACAAGAUCAGAAAGGCAGGCCUCUGGAAAGAAAUGAAGAUCACCUGAAAGUGUAAAUAAGUGAAUAAACAUGAAAGACAAUUUUUAUCAAUGUUUAAUUUAUGUAAAAGGUGAUUGAAUGUUUAAAGCAAAAAUAAUAGCAAUGUGCUUAUAUGUUAUAAGCAAAGGGCUUAUAACAUAUGUAGAAGUGAAAUAUAUGACAUCCUAGCACAAAAGAUAGGGG
This 1088-nucleotide long non-coding RNA is filed under the name Equus caballus (horse). RNAcentral's name for it is "lncRNA (ENSECAG00000039051.3)". Lineage: Eukaryota; Metazoa; Chordata; Mammalia; Perissodactyla; Equidae. The record is from RNAcentral.